CUGGCGGCGUGCCUAAUACAUGCAAGUCGAACGGUCUUUCUAUGGAAGCUUGCUCCACUGAGAAGAUAGUGGCGAACGGGUGAGUAACACGUGGGUAACCUGCCCAUAAGAGGGGGAUAACAUCCGGAAACGGGUGCUAAUACCGCAUAGUUUUCUUGAUCGCAUGAUUGAGAAAGGAAAGACGGCCUUUGUGCUGUCGCUUAUGGAUGGACCCGCGGCGUAUUAGUUAGUUGGUGAGGUAACGGCUCACCAAGACGAUGAUACGUAGCCGACCUGAGAGGGUGAUCGGCCACAUUGGGACUGAGACACGGCCCAAACUCCUACGGGAGGCAGCAGUAGGGAAUCUUCCGCAAUGGACGAAAGUCUGACGGAGCAACGCCGCGUGAGUGAAAGAAGGUUUUCGGAUCGUAAAACUCUGUUGUCAGAGAAGAACAAGUUGGAGAGUAACUGCUCCAGCCUUGACGGUAUCUGACCAGAAAGCCACGGCUAACUACGUGCCAGCCGCCGC
RNAcentral lists this ribosomal RNA (508 nucleotides) under uncultured bacterium. RNAcentral describes it as "bacterial SSU rRNA". It matches the Rfam family "Bacterial small subunit ribosomal RNA", at positions 36 to 518 of the family's 1533-position model. The record is from RNAcentral.